GUUAAACAUUCUCUUAUAUACAUACAUAUUUUUAUAUUGCUUAUUUACACCCAGACCUUCACGAUCAACCAUCCCCUUGCCCGCCAAGAGGGGACCCCCCGUAGGCCGCCUGGUUCCGCGCAUUAUCAAUUGACUCAUUCGAUUGGCUGUCCUGUCGAAGCGGAAACCCCACGAAACUAGUCGACGUUGACCAAUCAAUGAAUUGUACAAUUAUUUGUUUUGCAAUUUUAAUAAAUCAAUAAACUUUUUUAUAUCAUUA
Rana temporaria (common frog) is the source of this 259-nucleotide long non-coding RNA. RefSeq lists it as uncharacterized. The record is from RefSeq and is a predicted model, not a curated record. Lineage: Eukaryota; Metazoa; Chordata; Amphibia; Anura; Ranidae. The transcript has 2 exons.